AUUGAACGCUGGCGGCAUGCCUUACACAUGCAAGUCGAACGGCAGCACGGGUGCUUGCACCUGGUGGCGAGUGGCGAACGGGUCAGUAAUACAUCGGAACAUGUCCUGUAGUGGGGGAUAGCCCGGCGAAAGCCGGAUUAAUACCGCAUACGAUCCACGGAUGAAAGCGGGGGACCUUCGGGCCUCGCGCUAUAGGGUUGGCCGAUGGCUGAUUAGCUAGUUGGUGGGGUAAAGGCCUACCAAGGCGACGAUCAGUAGCUGGUCUGAGAGGACGACCAGCCACACUGGGACUGAGACACGGCCCAGACUCCUACGGGAGGCAGCAGUGGGGAAUUUUGGACAAUGGGCGAAAGCCUGAUCCAGCAAUGCCGCGUGUGUGAAGAAGGCCUUCGGGUUGUAAAGCACUUUUGUCCGGAAAGAAAUCCUUGACUCUAAUACAGUCGGGGGAUGACGGUACCGGAAGAAUAAGCACCGGCUAACUACGUG
This 486-nucleotide ribosomal RNA is filed under the name uncultured bacterium. RNAcentral's name for it is "partial 16S ribosomal RNA". It matches the Rfam family "Bacterial small subunit ribosomal RNA", at positions 30 to 507 of the family's 1533-position model. The record is from RNAcentral.